CCCUUAGAUGUGCUGGGCCGCACGCGGGAUACAAUGACCCGUUCAGAAAGUAUAACCUGACCCGGAAGGGAGUGGGUAAUCUUUUUAAUGCGGGUCGUGCUAGGGAUCGAUCUUUGCAAUUAUAGAUCUUGAACGAGGAAUACCUAGUAAGUGCAAGUCAUCAGCUUGUACUGAUUACGUCCCUGGUGUUUGUACUCACCGCCCGUCGCUCCUACCAAUUUCGAAUGAUCCGGCGAACCUUUUGGAUUGGGUGCAAGCCUAAGAAGUUAAGUAAACCUUAUCAUUUAGAGGAAGGAGAAGUCGUAACA
This 308-nucleotide ribosomal RNA is filed under the name uncultured eukaryote. RNAcentral describes it as "partial 18S ribosomal RNA". It matches the Rfam family "Eukaryotic small subunit ribosomal RNA", at positions 1470 to 1796 of the family's 1831-position model. The record is from RNAcentral.